CUACUCUUGACAUCCACGGAAUUCGGCAGAGAUGCCUUAGUGCCUUCGGGAACCGUGAGACAGGUGCUGCAUGGCUGUCGUCAGCUCGUGUUGUGAAAUGUUGGGAUAAGUCCCGCAACGAGCGCAACCCUUAUCCUUUGUUGCCAGCGAUUCGGUCGGGAACUCAAAGGAGACUGCCGGUGAUAAACCGGAGGAAGGUGGGGAUGACGUCAAGUCAUCAUGGCCCUUACGAGUAGGGCUACACACGUGCUACAAUGGCGCAUACAAAGAGAAGCGACCUCGCGAGAGCAAGCGGACCUCACAAAGUGCGUCGUAGUCCGGAUCGGAGUCUGCAACUCGACUCCGUGAAGUCGGAAUCGCUAGUAAUCGUGGAUCAGAAUGCCACGGUGAAUACGUUCCC
RNAcentral lists this ribosomal RNA (400 nucleotides) under uncultured bacterium. RNAcentral describes it as "bacterial SSU rRNA". It matches the Rfam family "Bacterial small subunit ribosomal RNA", at positions 975 to 1375 of the family's 1533-position model. The record is from RNAcentral.